UGCGCAGGUGGGCUUGUAAGUCAGUGGUGAAAUACUGCCGCUUAACGGUAGAACUGCCAUUGAUACUGCAAGUCUUGAAUAUGGUUGAGGUAGGCGGAAUGUGUUGUGUAGCGGUGAAAUGCAUAGAUAUGACACAGAACGCCGAUUGCGAAGGCAGCUUACUAAGCCAUUAUUGACGCUGAGGCACGAAAGCGUGGGGAGCGAACAGGAUUAGAUACCCUGGUAGUCC
Molecule: ribosomal RNA, 229 nt
Filed under: uncultured bacterium
Lineage: Bacteria
Description: partial 16S ribosomal RNA
Rfam family: Bacterial small subunit ribosomal RNA
Source: RNAcentral